GUGCCACUGGCCCAAUGGAUAAGGCGUGUGCCUACGGAGCAUGAGAUUCUAGGUUCGAGUCCUGGGUGGCACG
Transfer RNA from Tritrichomonas foetus, 73 nucleotides. It matches the Rfam family "tRNA". Rfam says of the family: Transfer RNA (tRNA) molecules are approximately 80 nucleotides in length. Their secondary structure includes four short double-helical elements and three loops (D, anti-codon, and T loops). Further hydrogen bonds mediate the characteristic L-shaped molecular structure. tRNAs have two regions of fundamental functional importance: the anti-codon, which is responsible for specific mRNA codon recognition, and the 3' end, to which the tRNAs corresponding amino acid is attached (by aminoacyl-tRNA synthetases). tRNAs cope with the degeneracy of the genetic code in two manners: having more than one tRNA (with a specific anti-codon) for a particular amino acid; and 'wobble' base-pairing, i.e. permitting non-standard base-pairing at the 3rd anti-codon position. Lineage: Eukaryota; Parabasalia; Tritrichomonadida; Tritrichomonadidae. The record is from Rfam.